Molecule: ribosomal RNA, 468 nt
Filed under: uncultured bacterium
Lineage: Bacteria
Description: partial 16S ribosomal RNA
Rfam family: Bacterial small subunit ribosomal RNA
Source: RNAcentral
GACGAACGCUGGCGGCGUGCUUAACACAUGCAAGUCGAACGGAAAGGCCCUGCUUUUGUGGGGUGCUCGAGUGGCGAACGGGUGAGUAACACGUGAGUAACCUGCCCUUGACUUUGGGAUAACUUCAGGAAACUGGGGCUAAUACCGGAUAGGAGCUCCUGCUGCAUGGUGGGGGUUGGAAAGUUUCGGCGGUUGGGGAUGGACUCGCGGCUUAUCAGCUUGUUUGUGGGGUAGUGGCUUACCAAGGCUUUGACGGGUAGCCGGCCUGAGAGGGUGACCGGGCACAUUGGGACUGAGAUACGGCCCAGACUCCUACGGGAGGCAGCAGUGGGGAAUAUUGCACAAUGGGCGGAAGCCUGAUGCAGCAACGCCGCGUGCGGGAUGACGGCCUUCGGGUUGUAAACCGCUUUCGCCUGUGACGAAGAGUGAGUGACGGUAAUGGGUAAAGAAGCACCGGCUAACUACGUG